Non-coding RNA from Cyanistes caeruleus (blue tit), 398 nucleotides. The record is from RefSeq and is a predicted model, not a curated record. NCBI's taxonomy places the organism in Eukaryota, Metazoa, Chordata, Aves, Passeriformes, Paridae.
UGUGGGCUCAGUUUGCAGAGCGUUCAAACACUAAAAACCAGCUGUGUUAAACUGUCUUUACUGUAGGAAUGAGCAGCUUGGCUGGGACAGGGAAGCACUGGCCUUGUCCCCUCAUCCCAAGAGGCACUGGAGGAGAGCCCUGCCUGGAUGGAGCUGGCAGGCCCAGGUGGGGAAGGUGCAGGGCAGCAGGAUGUGGAAAGAAAGACUGCCCUAAGAAGAAGCUGGGAAAAACAUUUUGAGGACCUUGGAGGUUGCUGGAUGACUCUGUGAUAUUGGAGAGUUCAACAUUUGCAUUUCCUUCCUCAUUGUAACAGAGGAAUUUUCAGUAGUCUCUACAGGAACUGUUUAUCUAAAGGCUGUGUUAAGAGUUUGGAAAUAAACAUGUGUUUUGGCUACGA